Long non-coding RNA from Talpa occidentalis (Iberian mole), 965 nucleotides. RefSeq lists it as uncharacterized. The record is from RefSeq and is a predicted model, not a curated record. NCBI's taxonomy places the organism in Eukaryota, Metazoa, Chordata, Mammalia, Eulipotyphla, Talpidae. The transcript is spliced from 2 exons.
CGGCGCCGGCCCCUCUCACCCUUUCAUUCUCUGCCCUGGGCCUGGCGCGGGCCGGCGAAUCCCCGACCUCACAUCAGAGUGAGAGGCGCUGGCAAUGGACUGGGAAGCUCGGCUGCCGCUGCUACUGCUCCCCCCUGGGCUCCGGCGAGAGCCUUGCCCUGUCAAGCAAGAGGGGUGAGGAUCAUAUUUUUAUUUUGGAAACUAAAAAGUGCUCCCAGGGUCGGUGAUUAUUAAGGGGAAAUCCCUGAAUAUACUCUCCAGCCAAGAAGGCAGGGCUGCCGGGUCUGCACAAGAAGAGGCAGCAGCCUCCUACAGCACCACUACAGGCACUGCGAGGACAUAACACCAGACCGCCGCUCCUCUGCCCUCCGAAACGACAACUUUCCUACCAUCUUGGAGGCAGAGCAAAGGGGGGCCAGGGGGAAAAGUGCACCCGCUCCCGAUAAAGUACAAAUUUCUACUUCUCGUCUUUGGAAAAAAGUCCGCUCCGGCCGUCUACACCGGCGCCUGGGGGAAAAAGCAGGGAAGAAACUGGGGAUGCUUGAGAAACGUUUUCAUUUGCACCUGGGGGGAAAAUGUUUCUGCAUCUUCUGAUGGAAAGAAUUCUUUACAAGACACAGGUUUUCCGGUGAUUAUUUUCUAUUUUCUAUUUAAUUUUUUCCAUGUGAGUGACAGUGGUGUUCUAAUUUUUUUUUUCAGGCUAAUGAUAAUUUUUCUCCAUUAUAGAUCAAAGUUCUGUGUCUGGUGGUCAGUUUAUGAAUUUGUACAAGUGACUUGAUAACCACUUUGUUUGCUUGUUUGCAUGUUUAUUAUAAUAGAUAUAUUUUAUCUGUUUCUUUAUAUUAUAUAUAAAAAUGUGCGGUAUGUAUUGCCCCUCAAAACUCACAUUGCCGAAGGACAGUUGUGAAGGGAUGUCUUUUGUCUUCUUUUCUUAAAGCAUUGUUAAUAAAACCUAUUGAUUGUCC